UAGGGAAUCUUCCGCAAUGGACGCAAGUCUGACGGAGCAACGCCGCGUGAGUGAAGAAGGAUUUCGGUUCGUAAAACUCUGUUGUUAGAGAAGAACAGCGCAUAGAGUAACUGUUAUGCGUGUGACGGUAUCUAACCAGAAAGCCACGGCUAACUACGUGCCAGCAGCCGCGGUAAUACGUAGGUGGCAAGCGUUGUCCGGAUUUAUUGGGCGUAAAGCGAGCGCAGGCGGUUAGAUAAGUCUGAAGUUAAAGGCAGUGGCUCAACCAUUGUAGGCUUUGGAAACUGUUUAACUUGAGUGCAGAAGGGGAGAGUGGAAUUCCAUGUGUAGCGGUGAAAUGCGUAGAUAUAUGGAGGAACACCGGCGGCGAAAGCGGCUCUCUGGUCUGUAACUGACGCUGAGGCUCGAAAGCGUGGGUAGCAAACAGG
RNAcentral lists this ribosomal RNA (428 nucleotides) under Bacteroidota bacterium. Its description in RNAcentral is "Bacteroidetes bacterium partial 16S ribosomal RNA". It matches the Rfam family "Bacterial small subunit ribosomal RNA", at positions 355 to 776 of the family's 1533-position model. Lineage: Bacteria; Pseudomonadati; Bacteroidota. The record is from RNAcentral.